ACAAUGAUACUCCUGUACGCAGCUCGAAGAGUUCCUUCGAGGGGUGCGAUUCCCGUGC
This 58-nucleotide non-coding RNA is filed under the name unclassified sequences. The record is from Rfam.